CCUACGGGUGGCAGCAGUGAGGAAUAUUGGUCAAUGGACGAGAGUCUGAACCAGCCAAGUAGCGUGAUGGAUGACUGCCCUAUGGGUUGUAAACCUCUUUUAUAUGGGAAUAAAAUAGGGUAUGCAUACCCUAUCGUAUGUACCAUAUGACUAAGGAUCGGCUAACUCCGUGCCAGCAGCCGCGGUAAUACGGAGGAUGCGAGCGUUAUCCGGAUUUAUUGGGUUUAAGGGGAGCGUAGGUGGAUUGUUAAGUCAGUUGUGAAAGUUUGCGGCUCAACCGGAGAAUUGCAGUUGAAACUGGCAGUCUGGAGUACGGUAGAGGUGGGCGGAAUGCGUGGUGUAGCGGUGAAAUGCUUAGAUAUCACGAAGAACUCCGAUUGCGAAGGCAGCUCACUGGACUGCAACUGACGCUGAUGCUCGAAAGUGUGGGUAUCAAACAGGAUUAGAUACCCUUGUAGUC
This 460-nucleotide ribosomal RNA is filed under the name uncultured bacterium. RNAcentral's name for it is "partial 16S ribosomal RNA". It matches the Rfam family "Bacterial small subunit ribosomal RNA", at positions 338 to 795 of the family's 1533-position model. The record is from RNAcentral.